AACGGAGGGGGCAAGCGUUGUCCGGAGUUACUGGGCGUAAAGGGUGCGUAGGUGGCCAAUUAAGUCAAGUGUGAAAUUCCACGGCUCAACUGUGGGAGAGCGCUUGAAACUGGAUGGCUUGAGGUCAGGUCAGGAAGAUGGAAUUGUCAGUGUAGGGGUGAAAUCCGUAGAUAUUGGCAAGAACGCCAGUGGUGAAGACGGUAUUCGGGACUGAUAUUGACACUGAGGCGCGAAAGCCAGGGGAGCGAACGGG
This 253-nucleotide ribosomal RNA is filed under the name uncultured bacterium. Its description in RNAcentral is "partial 16S ribosomal RNA". It matches the Rfam family "Bacterial small subunit ribosomal RNA", at positions 524 to 776 of the family's 1533-position model. The record is from RNAcentral.